GGAGAGAUGGCUGAGUGGUCGAAAGCGGCGGUCUUGAAAACCGUUAUCUCGUGAAAGCGGGAUCGAGGGUUCGAAUCCCUCUCUCUCCUCCA
Molecule: transfer RNA, 92 nt
Filed under: bacterium
Lineage: Bacteria
Also listed under: 1 other name
Description: tRNA-Ser
Rfam family: tRNA
About the family: Transfer RNA (tRNA) molecules are approximately 80 nucleotides in length. Their secondary structure includes four short double-helical elements and three loops (D, anti-codon, and T loops). Further hydrogen bonds mediate the characteristic L-shaped molecular structure. tRNAs have two regions of fundamental functional importance: the anti-codon, which is responsible for specific mRNA codon recognition, and the 3' end, to which the tRNAs corresponding amino acid is attached (by aminoacyl-tRNA synthetases). tRNAs cope with the degeneracy of the genetic code in two manners: having more than one tRNA (with a specific anti-codon) for a particular amino acid; and 'wobble' base-pairing, i.e. permitting non-standard base-pairing at the 3rd anti-codon position.
Source: RNAcentral